AACGAACGCUGGCGGCAGGCUUAACACAUGCAAGUCGAGCGCAUCCUUCGGGGUGAGCGGCGGACGGGUUAGUAACGCCGUGGGAACGUGCCCUUUGCUCUGGAAUAGCCCUGGGAAACUGGGGGGUAAUACCGGAUGUGCCCUGAGGGGGAAAGGUUUACCGGCAAGGGAUCGGCCCGCGUCUGAUUAGGUAGUUGGUGGGGCAACGGCUCACCAAGCCCGACGAUCGGUAGCUGGUUUGAGAGGAUGAUCAGCAACACUGGGACUGAGACACGGCCCAGACUCCUACGGGAGGCAGCAGUGGGGAAUCUUGGACGAAUGGGGGCAACCCUGAUCCAGCCAUGCCGCGUGGGUGAUGAA
Molecule: ribosomal RNA, 360 nt
Filed under: uncultured Paracoccaceae bacterium
Lineage: Bacteria; Pseudomonadati; Pseudomonadota; Alphaproteobacteria; Rhodobacterales; Paracoccaceae
Description: bacterial SSU rRNA
Rfam family: Bacterial small subunit ribosomal RNA
Source: RNAcentral